UGGGGAAUUUUGGACAAUGGGCGCAAGCCUGAUCCAGCCAUGCCGCGUGAGUGAAGAAGGCCUUCGGGUUGUAAAGCUCUUCGGCCGGAAGAAAUCGUGGUCUCUAACAUAGGCCAUGGAUGACGGUACCGGACUAAGAAGCACCGGCUAACUACGUGCC
This 160-nucleotide ribosomal RNA is filed under the name uncultured bacterium. RNAcentral describes it as "partial 16S ribosomal RNA". It matches the Rfam family "Bacterial small subunit ribosomal RNA", at positions 355 to 509 of the family's 1533-position model. The record is from RNAcentral.